UAAGGUAGCGAAAUUCCUUGUCGGGUAAGUUCCGACCUGCACGAAUGGUGCAACGAUCUGGGCACUGUCUCAACCAUGAUCUCGGUGAAAUUGUAGUAUCGGUGAAGAUGCCGGUUACCCGCAGUGGGACGAAAAGACCCCGUGCACCUUUACUAUAGCUUCGUAUUGACCCUGGGCAAGGGAUGUGUAGGAUAGCUGGGAGGAUUUGAAGCGCUGUCGCCAGGCAGUGUGGAUCCGUUGUUGAAAUACCAGCCUUCGUUUGUCCGGGGCCUAACCUCUAACGAGGAACAGUGCGUGGUGGGUAGUUUGACUGGGGCGGUCGCCUCC
This 327-nucleotide ribosomal RNA is filed under the name Kryptoperidinium foliaceum. Its description in RNAcentral is "partial Bacterial large subunit ribosomal RNA". It matches the Rfam family "Bacterial large subunit ribosomal RNA", at positions 1952 to 2290 of the family's 2925-position model. The record is from RNAcentral. Lineage: Eukaryota; Dinophyceae; Peridiniales; Kryptoperidiniaceae.